RNAcentral lists this ribosomal RNA (451 nucleotides) under uncultured bacterium. RNAcentral describes it as "bacterial SSU rRNA". It matches the Rfam family "Bacterial small subunit ribosomal RNA", at positions 340 to 786 of the family's 1533-position model. The record is from RNAcentral.
UACGGAAGGCAGCAGUGGGGAAUAUUGCACAAUGGGCGCAAGCCUGAUGCAGCCAUGCCGCGUGUAUGAAGAAGGCCUUCGGGUUGUAAAGUACUUUCAGCGGGGAGGAAGGCGAUGCGGUUAAUAACCGCGUCGAUUGACGUUACCCGCAGAAGAAGCACCGGCUAACUCCGUGCCAGCAGCCGCGGUAAUACGGAGGGUGCAAGCGUUAAUCGGAAUUACUGGGCGUAAAGCGCACGCAGGCGGUCUGUUAAGUCAGAUGUGAAAUCCCCGGGCUUAACCUGGGAACUGCAUUUGAAACUGGCAGGCUUGAGUCUUGUAGAGGGGGUAGAAUUCCAGGUGUAGCGGUGAAAUGCGUAGAGAUCUGGAGGAAUACCGGUGGCGAAGGCGGCCCCUGGACAAGACUGACGCUCAGGUGCGAAGCGUGGGGAGCGAAACAGGAUUAGAUACC